GUGCAGAGAGCGGCAACAAGCAACAACUAGGCGUGUGACGUGGCGCCUGUAUCCCUCCUACUUCCUCCUGCAUCAAGAGGAAAAGCGAGGGAGUGAAAAUUGAAAGAGUAUUGGUUUCGUGGAGUUGCAGCUAAUUAGGGCAAGAGAUAGAAUUAUAGAAGGCUUCCAUUAUUUGCAGUAGAUAGAUAUUAUUUUCUUUUUUUUUUUAGUUGAUAAAGGAGGUGAUUAGUUGUAUCCAUGGAACAUACAUUUUGGGGUCAUUUGCCGCUAUUAGUGAGAGCAAACUCAAAGGAAUCGGUGGAAUAUAUACUUCAAGCUCUCUGGAGAACCCGAAAAACCGGUCUCGAUGCGGCCGACCGCCAUGUCAUCUGCGAGAUGCUACAGCUCCAAAACGAUGCCGACCUUGACCCUCUCUUGGUUUGCCUUCGCAUGUUGAUCCGAAGGUGUGUUUAUGAGAAUAUAAGCAAAGAUGAGAUUCAAAAGCUAUUUCCCAAUGAGGUUCUGCCUGAAUUGCAAAGACUGUUAACCAUUCUGUUGCAAAAGUUUCAUAAAGAAUGGAGGGAGGAUGUAUUCAAGGAUCAGGUUAUUUUACCCCGUUUGAAGGCAAUGACAUGGAAUAUGGCAAAUAAGGAUACAGCAGAAGUGACAGAACCCAUGGCUGUGAUAAACUUAAAGCUUCAAAAUGAUGCUCCAUCUCACUCAGGAGAAUUUGAAGUAAAGUUCCAAUUGGCUAAAGAUACUUUAGAAACGAUGGUAAAGUCUAUGUACUGCAUAAGAGACCAGUUAUCUGACAUGGAUAGCACAUCGAACAUGCAUUUAUAACACAAGACCAACAGCUUAGUUUAGUAGUUACCUAUAGGCCUCAAAAUGUUAUGGUGUGGUUCGGAUUUGAAAUCUAUUUUGCUUCAAGAUUCAAUGGUACACUUUUGUAGUUAUUAAAAUUAGCUGGAUCAUAUAGAGAUGCAAAAAUUUUGCUUUGCAUUUGUUUGGUUACUGGGGCCACAACAUCCAGACUGUGACUCUGAAAGGUUUUAUUUAAACCAGUAAAACUUUUAAGAUUCUUUUUUCCUAUAUGCAGCCUUGUAAUUAACAAUAUAAUAUAUGUAAUUUGUGAAGCAGGAUCUGAUAUGAUGAAGAUGUCAGCUUGGUGAAAUUUGGUUCUGUUAGCUGGUUGAAGCAUCUGCUGUAAUGAAAAUUCAUGAGUAAUUGUGUAUGAUAAUUAUGCAAUCGUGUCUUUGUUCAAGGUUUUUCAUUUUCUCUAUAAAAGCUUAAAGAUGCCAAACAUCUGUGGCGCUGAUGCAAUGAUGACUGUGGUAGUAUGGUGGUCAAGUGAGGUAAGGAAAAAGAAGAUGCUUGUUUUCGAAAAAAAUAAUAAAUUCUUUGAUUAAUAUAGUAUUAUGCAAUAUCAUUUUGUUGGAGUUACUAUGAAAGUGAAAGAGCAUGCAUGACCAUAUUUUAUCUGGAAGCUAAAUAAGUGAAACCAUAUGAGAGUCUCCAUAGGCAUUUUGAUGCAAUCUUUAUCAGAGUUAGAUACUAAGAUCGAUGCUAUCUCAGAAAAUCAUGUCUAGCAUAUUCCAGGUAGCUCCAUGAUUUAUUUGUUACUAUAAUUGCUUCUUGUUGUUCACUGAAUAGCUGCACUGACGAUAUUACCUUAUUUGGAGACUCAAGUUUUAUAUGAUUGUAGUAAGGGUUCAUUCAGAUACAUAAUCAUUUAAAUUUUUUUUAUAAA
Jatropha curcas is the source of this 1729-nucleotide non-coding RNA. Lineage: Eukaryota; Viridiplantae; Streptophyta; Magnoliopsida; Malpighiales; Euphorbiaceae. The record is from RefSeq and is a predicted model, not a curated record.